Molecule: ribosomal RNA, 321 nt
Filed under: Allapsidae sp.
Lineage: Eukaryota; Cercozoa; Glissomonadida; Viridiraptoridae
Description: SSU rRNA
Rfam family: Eukaryotic small subunit ribosomal RNA
Source: RNAcentral
GAUUUCUGACUUGGCGCACCUGGCCCGCCACGGUUACGUGUGUGAGUGCCGGGAUGCGCCUGUCACUUUUCUGGUAAACUAUUGUGCCCUUCAUUGGGUAUGAUAGGUAGCCAGAUAUUUUACUUUGAAAAAAUUAGAGUGUUUAAAGCAGGCGUUUGCUAUGAAUACAUUAGCAUGGAAUAAUAAUUUAGGACUUCGGUUCUAUUUUGUUGGUUUCUAUAACUGAAGUAAUGAUUGAUAGGGAUAGUUGGGGGUGCUAGUAUUCAAUGGCCAGAGGUGAAAUUCUCGGAUUCGCUGAAGACUAACUUAUGCGAAAGCAUU